AUGCUGGAUUAUGAGUUCGGAAGGCAGACUAUUGCGGGCCUGAAUCCCAUGAUAAUAAAAAAGCUCGAGUGCUAUCCUCCUGUAAGCAGCCUGGAUCCUAAGAUUUUCGGGCCAAAAGCCACUGCACUGAAAGACGAACACAUACUGGAUCAGCUCAACGGCCUCACUGUUCAAGAAGUAAGAAAGUAUUUUUCUAAGAACCAAGCUUCACCGCUGGUGUUUGUCAGGCUCUGGAGGCGAAUAAGCUCUUCAUCUUGGAUUACCACGAUGCAUUCCUGCCAUACUUGAACAGGAUUAAUGCGCAGGAGGGAAAGAAAACAUACGCAACACGGACUAUAUUGUUUCUUACAGACAGAGGUGUCUUGAAGCCUAUAGCCAUCGAGUUGAGCCUCCCAGCAGCAACAGCGACCGGCCAGAGAAAGAACAGGGUAUUUGUCUGCUCCGACACACCAAAGAGGGACUGGGCUUGGGAAGUUGCCAAAGGACACGUUGCCGUGAAUGACUGUGGAUAUCAUCAACUCAUUAGUCACUGGUAAGAGAAUGAUACAAAAAAAUAUAUGGCAAUGCUUACCUGAUCGCGCUCAUCCAGGCUGAGAACGCAUGCCGUCAUGGAACCGUUUAUAAUUGCUAUGCACAGGCAGCUGAGUAUUCUUCAUCCAAUCUACCUCCUGCUGAUUCCGCACUUCAAAGACACAAUGACCAUCAAUUCCAAAGCUCGCCAAUCGCUGAUCAAUGCAUCAGGAAUCAUCGAAGACAACUUCACACCGGGAAAAUACUCCAUAGAAUUAAGUGCUGUCGUCUAUGGAUCGCUGUGGAGAUUCGACCAGCAGGGACUUCCAGCUGACUUGAUCGCCAGGUAAGGGGAUUUCUAGCUUGAAACUAUCCAAACGAAAAGCAAGCACGAUUUUUUUUCCAGGGGAAUGGCUACUCCAAAUCCGAAAGCCAGACACGGCCUAGACCUCCUCAUUGAAGACUAUCCUUACGCAGUGGAUGGACUGAACCUCUGGAGUGCAUUGAAGCAAUGGGUGACGGACUACACAGACAUUUUCUACAAGGACGAUGCUUCAGUCAGGGAUGACACUGAGCUCCAGGCAUGGUGGCAAGAAAUCGUGAAUGUUGGUCAUGCAGACAAGAAAGUUGGAUGGACAGACCUGAACACAAAAGCAAACUUGAUCGAGGCACUCACCACCAUGAUUUGGAUCCCAUCGUGCCACCACGCUGCUGUUAACUUUGGCCAGUAUGCAUACGCUGGAUUCCCAGUGAACAGGCCGACCAUCUCUCACAAGCUCAUUCCCGACGAAGACACCGAAGAAUAUAAACAGCUGCGAAGAAACGGGGAGAAAUUCUACCUCUCAUCCUUCUCCACCAAAACCGAAGCGACGCAAGUGAUGACAACCAUCGAGAUCCUCUCCACGCAUUCAUCCGACGAAGAGUACCUGGGCACGCGGCCGGAGCACUGGACGAGCGACAAACGGGUGCUGGACGCAUUCGAGCGAUUCAAGGCCGCCAUAGCCGAGACAGAGGCCGAAGUGAUGGCAAAGAACGCAGAUCCAGAGCUGGAGAACCGCCGCGGCCUUGUCAAUCUACCCUACACGCUCCUCGCCGUGAGCUCGUCCCCGGGCAUCACUGGCCGAGGAGUCCCCAACAGCAUCUCCAUCUAGAUGGCGCUACCAUUGUAGGGUUAGGGUUCUUCAUACUUUAGUUAUAAUUCUCUCUCUCUCUCUCUCUCUCUCUCCAUUCUUCUAGAACGCCAAGAACUCGGCCGAUCCGCUGCAAUACAGCCUUGAAUCCCUGCUCUUCCUGGAGUUAUCUCUGAUUUGUUCCUUUGCAUUCUCGAUGACUCCACCACGAGCUUGUCCUGGUAUCCUUCUACACUUAAAAUUAAGAUCAAGAGAGAGAAAAGAAGCCGUCUUGUCUUCUAUGAUGGGAAGCUCAUACCUGCAGAAGAAAAUGUUUAUCUCUUACUCUUCUCACGUCCUAGAAAAAAUCUCUACAAGCAUCAGUCACAUCUAAAACAGAGAAUGGAUCAAUCACUUAGGAAAUGCACAAGUGAUGAGGAAUCCAGCGCGGGGAUGAUCCACCACACCAGUGUAUGAGCACUGGACAAGGAGAUAUUUCCAAGCAUCGCUACAAGAAAAAGAGUUCCUUCUAAACAUCGCGACAAGGGAUCUACUGGACCAUCGCUUGUGGCGUGGAUUCUGCAUCGAUGCUCGCUUUUGCUGCAACAGGGAUGACAGUAGAGGAUGAAGAGCACGAGAAAUCGAGACCAGGCUUGUUUUUAGCUUCCUCGGCUUCUUCAAUUUGAGAGAAAAUGGCGCUUCAGGAGCCGAAUCUGCGAGGAAGUAGAGGAGAGAGACAGAUCAUCUUCAUGAACCCUAAAAUCCCUCCCUCUAGAACCAUAAAUUUUGUUCGACCGCGUCCGACCAGGAUCCCGACCGCCGCCGAACGCGGUCGGACAACUCCGUUCGGUGAUUCCAAUAUUCCAAUGGCAAUCGCACUCGCAGGGGCUAGAUUUCCGAUGCUGUUGCCCUGGAUCACCACUGCAUCUCCACCGCUUUGCUAGUUCUCCUGCUGCUCCGCUAUGGAGCGAUCCAUCCACGAAUGCUCAGCAAGCCUACAUCGAAUCUGACGAAAAGGACUAUAGGAGCUGCGUCAGUAACUCCACUUCCUGCCAGGCCUAUGCAGCGUACUGAGCUCUCCAGGGCGACAUCUGCAGUCGGUUGGCCUCUGCUUGUAUAAUUUGUGCCCUAAAAUGGAAAUUCAAAUGAGAGGAAGAUGUUUACUUUUACUAGUAUGGUUUUAUUAAAAAUGUUUUUUUUAAUCAAAAAAAAUUAUAAAUUGUCAUUCACCAUUGAUAAUUAGCAAGUUAGUUAAUUACUAUUCAAAAUAAUCAAAAUUAACCUUAUUAAUGUCACAAUUAAAUGCAAGGACCAAAGCCAAUUGUCACUUCUCUGGCAUAACCUUUGUGCUUUUCUCCCAAGCUCUUGUGCAGAUCUAAAGAGCAUUGCGACCCAGGUGGAGAAGGGCUUGAUGUGGAAUGUGAUGGAUAUGCCAAGGUCUUCUCUUGCCGCGUUUGUCAAGUAUGUCAUGUCACCGAUGCGGACUCAGUGCUCCAGUUUGUGAACUGGCAGUUGUUUUUCUCUUCUGGUGUUCGUUUCUUCGACUUCUCUUGUUCCAUUUGCAGCAGGUGGAGGAUGGAAGUUGAUAUGCCACCGCAAGUUUCCAAUAAGCCGAGCGUUCUCCCGGAGCUGGAAAUGUUUUGCUACCUCGUUGUUCUCAUCUACUUAUCGAUCAGAGACAGUAUAAGCAGGUGAGCACUUUCAUUUUUCUUCUAGCCAGCUGGAUUUCUAAUCUUGUUCCAUAGGCGAAAUCUUGCGCAGAUGAAUGAGAUUGCAACAGCUAAACCGGCGGACUCCCCUCGACACUACUACUCACUUUGUAGCUACGAAUGCAUCGAUUCACUGGCUGAGACUCGAGGGUAUUUGAUGUAUUCAAAUAAUCAAAUGGUUUCCAGGGCACUUCUUUCUCACACUUCGUCACGACGAGCUGCGACAGGUUCUGUUUUUUUUCGAUUCAGUAUAUGUGGAGGCCCCUUCGAAAGAACAAUGCGGUGUUUGAUUUGGUGCUGUUACCACGCGCGCUGGGACAGGAUAACGUUGCUUGUACUUACCACAGGCCCGUUCUCGAGGCUACGAUCAAGGCGCAGCAGGCUUGGAGAGAGCUGUUUUAUAACAGUGGCCACCCCGACAACGAUGAAACGCUGCUGGUUUUCUUUUUACCCCCGGAUUCCUAUCACGGCUUCAAGUUCCAGAAGUACCGAUCAUCUAGAAAGGUUUCUCAGAAAGCUGUCAGAGGUGAGUGAUUUCAUAUGAGCAAGAAGUAUGUGAAGUUACAGUUUCCUUCUUUAGGUGGCCGUGCCGGUAUCUGGAAGUCCUUAUGUAGAAGAGAUGAGCCACGAGAUGGAUGUGGUUUCUCUAGAUGCGAACUUGCCGGGGACUUGGGAAGAGGUUCUCGGCUGCAUAGAGUCCAAGGAAACUUUUGAAGAUCCACCGGAGAAAUCACUUGUCCAAGAAAAGCUCCAAUAUUUGAAGAGGAAGUUGGCGAUAGAGACGAGCUGGACGACUUGGAAAAGAUCCGUGACAUUGCAGAUGGUAGGCUGAAGCGCAAACGUCUUCAAUCACUGUGCAAGAUGCACAAUAUCAGAGCCAAUACCACCAACGACGAGAUUCUGUUUGAUCUGGCUGAUCUCUGGCAAAGCUCUUGUUCUAUAUUUGUUUCCUCUCUAAGAACUAUGGCUGCUUAUGCUUAACAUUGAUAAAUUAGUCUAGCAAUCUCGUGGAAAACCAAGAAAGAAUGGUUGAGUACAAAGUCAAAAACAAUGGCUAAGACUGGCUGAAGUCAGAUUUGUUGAUGACAUACCUCUAGAAUUUAGAACCCAUAUAGUUUACUGAAGAACUACGGAAUCAGCAGGAGGUAGAUUGGAUGAAGAAUGCUCAGCUAGCAAUAAUAAAUGGUUCCAUGACGGCAUGCGUCCUCAGCCUGGAUGAGAGCGAUCAGGUACGCAUUGCUAUAUAAUUUUUGUAUCAUCGUCUUGGAUUCCUCGGCUUUUUUUUGCCAAACACUCUUGAUUUAGUGGCAGCACGUGAAGAACAAACACUUUGCGAAGAGCUUGCAAUGCCAGACGCAUGCUAUGUCGGCACGAGCUUUGUCUUUCUUUCCUUCUGUAUUUCUUUCGCUUCGGUUUUUCUUCAUCUACAGGAGUGGCUCCAACCUGGUGGCAAAGUUCCAGUUUUAUGCUCCUGCAACACCACAGAGGUCACCUUGCACUACAGGCUUCCAGUUCUAGAAAGAGGCGGCUAAAGUGUUUUGUCUGGACAGUGUACAAUGGAAAAAUCCAAAUCACGAUCAUCUUCUGCUACGCCUCGUUGAUAAAAACACAAUGACCAUCAAUUUCAAAGCUCGCCACCAAUGCAUCAGGAAUCAUCGAAGACAACUUCACGUCGGGAAAUCACUCCAUAGAACCAACUGCUGUCGUCUAUGGAUCGCUGUGGAGAUUCGACCAGCAGGGACUUCCAGCUGACUUGAUCGCCAGGUAAGAUUUCUAGCUUGAAACUAUCCAAACAAAAAGCAAACAAUGAUUUUUCCCAGCCAAAACCGAAAGCCAAGCACGGCCUAGACCUCCUCACUGAAGGCUGUCCCUACGCAGUGGAUAGACUGAACCUCUGGAGUGCAUUGAAGCAAUGGGUGACAGAUUACACAGACAUUUUCUACAAGGACGAUGCUUCAGUCAGGGAUGACACUGAACUCUAGGCAUGGUGGCAAGAAAUAAGACAGUUGGAUGGACAGACAUGAACACAAAAGCAAACUUGACCGAGGCACUCACCACCGUGAUUUGGAUCCCCAUCGUGCCACCACAACUUUGGCCAGUACGCAUACACUGGAUUCCCAGUGAACAGGCAGACCAUCGCUCACAAGCUCAUUCCUGACGAAGACAGGACACCGAAGAAUAUAAGCAGCUGCGAAGAAACGGGGAGAAAUUCUACCUCUCACCCUCCAAAGCCGAGGCGACGUUGGUGAUGACAACCAUCGAGAUCCUCUCCACGCAUUCCUCCGACGAGGAGUACCUGGGCACGCGGCCGGAACACUGGACGAGCGACAAACGGGUGCUGGACGCAUUCGAGCGAUUCAAAGCCGAGACGGAGGCGGAAGUGAUGGCAAGGAACGCGAAGAACCGCCGCGGCCUUUUCAAUCUCCCCUACACGCUCCUUGCCGUGAGCUCGCCCCCGGGCACUGGCCGAAACAGCAUCUCCAUCUAGAUGAACCCUAAAA
RNAcentral lists this long non-coding RNA (5829 nucleotides) under Selaginella moellendorffii. Its description in RNAcentral is "long non-coding RNA (SMOE_LNC001228)". Lineage: Eukaryota; Viridiplantae; Streptophyta; Lycopodiopsida; Selaginellales; Selaginellaceae. The record is from RNAcentral.